GUUCACAUUGCUAACCUACAACAGGGCUGAAGGGGAUCAUGUCUACGGUGGUCCAUUUCCAAGACAAAGUGCCUUGAAUCGGCUUAGGUCUGCAAAAUACAGAAGAAACAGGAUAUCCCAGGCCCCUGCUCAGACAGCCGAUGCCUGCUUAUCGGGAUCCCCCUUAGUUGCCCUCACCUGAACCAAAGAAGUUUAGUCUAAGAUAAAAGUUUACCAGUCUGCAAAAUAGCUGGCUUUGUCUGUUCUUAUCAGCCUGCCAGCUACGUAGGUCAUAAGUCAAAUAUUUAAAGAGCCCCAGGGCUAACUAGGAUUGCAAUGCACUGUGGGCUGCAACAAAAUGCAGCAAGACAACCCUAAAAAGACACCUACAGCCCCUGCCCAACAACCAAUAGGUGACAUCUGGGAAGACUGUGACCCCAUAGUGCUCAGCCUAUGAGGAACUGGGGGAGGGACCUGCACACUAAGGGAUAAAGUGCUUGUUAAAACCAUGCUGGAGGCUGGUGCAGUGGCUCACGCCUGUAAUCCCAGCACUUUAGGAGGCCGACGUGAGGCAGGCGGAUCACUUGGGGUCAGGAGUUUGACACCAGCCUGGCCAACCUGGUAAAACCCCAUCUCUAUUGAAAACACGAAAAUUAGCCAGGCGUGGUGGUGAGUGCCUGUGAUCCCAGCUACUCAGGAGGCUGAGGCAGGAGGAUCACUUGGACUCGGGAGGCAGAGUUACAGUGAGCCGAGAUCCUGCCACCGCACUCCAGCCUGGGCGACAGAGAAAGACCCCAUCUCAAAACAACAGCAACAACAACAAAACCGGGCUGGGCGUGCCUUCCCAUCGGACACCCGACCUCGCAAGACUGUCAUUAAAAGUCUCACUCUCGCUGUUCUCUGGGUUGUGAGUCCAUUCUCUGGGUGUGGACAGGCAUUCAGCUCAGUCUACGGCCCGCAGACAGAUUUCCUAGAAAUAACUGCUCCUACUUCUCAACUCUUAACAAAAAGGUCUCUGAAAAGGAAUUUGGAGGAAACAGACUAUUCCAGUGAAUAGUGUACAAGCCUGGGAGAUGCGGACUUUGGUGUAAAAUGAAGGAUGUCCACACGCCGCAUCCCUGACAGAAUCCAAAGGCAGAAGCACCAGCACUCGUGGGUUGUGGCUACACCCGGGGCAGGGCCCCAGCUCAGAUCCCACACGGGUGCAGCCAGCGCCG
This 1196-nucleotide long non-coding RNA is filed under the name Homo sapiens (human). Its description in RNAcentral is "HSALNT0404540". Lineage: Eukaryota; Metazoa; Chordata; Mammalia; Primates; Hominidae. The record is from RNAcentral.